RNAcentral lists this ribosomal RNA (884 nucleotides) under uncultured Clostridium sp. RNAcentral describes it as "bacterial SSU rRNA". It matches the Rfam family "Bacterial small subunit ribosomal RNA", at positions 9 to 924 of the family's 1533-position model. The record is from RNAcentral. Lineage: Bacteria; Bacillati; Bacillota; Clostridia; Eubacteriales; Clostridiaceae.
GAGUUUGAUCAUGGCUCAGGAUGAACGCUGGCGGCGUGCCUAACACAUGCAAGUCGAGCGAACCCUUCAGGGUGAGCGGCGGACGGGUGAGUAACGCGUGGGUAACCUGCCCUGUACACACGGAUAACAUACCGAAAGGUAUGCUAAUACGAGAUAACAUAUUUUAAUCGCAUGGUUAAGAUAUCAAAGCUCCGGCGGUACAGGAUGGACCCGCGUCUGAUUAGCUAGUUGGUGAGGUAAUGGCUCACCAAGGCGACGAUCAGUAGCCGACCUGAGAGGGUGAUCGGCCACACUGGAACUGAGACACGGUCCAGACUCCUACGGGAGGCAGCAGUGGGGAAUAUUGCACAAUGGGCGAAAGCCUGAUGCAGCAACGCCGCGUGAGCGAUGAAGGCCUUCGGGUCGUAAAGCUCUGUCCUCAAGGAAGAUAAUGACGGUACUUGAGGAGGAAGCCCCGGCUAACUACGUGCCAGCAGCCGCGGUAAUACGUAGGGGGCUAGCGUUAUCCGGAAUUACUGGGCGUAAAGGGUGCGUAGGCGGUCUUUCAAGCCAGAAGUGAAAGGCUACGGCUCAACCGUAGUAAGCUUUUGGAACUGUAAGACUUGAGUGCAGGAGAGGAGAGUGGAAUUCCUAGUGUAGCGGUGAAAUGCGUAGAUAUUAGGAGGAACACCAGUAGCGAAGGCGGCUCUCUGGACUGUAACUGACGCUGAGGCACGAAAGCGUGGGGAGCAAACAGGAUUAGAUACCCUGGUAGUCCACGCCGUAAACGAUGAGUACUAGGUGUCGGGGGUUACCCCCCUCGGUGCCGCAGCUAACGCAUUAAGUACUCCGCCUGGGAAGUACGCUCGCAAGAGUGAAACUCAAAGGAAUUGACGGGGACCCGC